Molecule: ribosomal RNA, 501 nt
Filed under: uncultured bacterium
Lineage: Bacteria
Description: bacterial SSU rRNA
Rfam family: Bacterial small subunit ribosomal RNA
Source: RNAcentral
ACUCAAAGGAAUUGACGGGGGCCCGCACAAGCAGCGGAGCAUGUGGUUUAAUUCGAAGCAACGCGAAGAACCUUACCAGGACUUGACAUCCCGCGAACCGGUAUGAAAAUACUGAGUGCCUUUCGGGGAACGCGGAGACAGGUGGUGCAUGGUUGUCGUCAGCUCGUGUCGUGAGAUGUUGGGUUAAGUCCCGCAACGAGCGCAACCCCUAUACUUAGUUACCAGCGCGUAAAGGCGGGGACUCUGAGUAGACUGCCGUGGACAACACGGAGGAAGGCGGGGACGACGUCAAAUCAUCAUGCCCCUUAUGUUCUGGGCUACACACGUGCUACAAUGGCUGACACAAAGGGAAGCGAAGGCGUAAGCCGGAGCAAAUCUCAAAAAAGCAGUCUUAGUUCGGAUUGUGGGCUGCAACCCGCCCACAUGAAGUCGGAGUUGCUAGUAAUCGCGAAUCAGAAUGUCGCGGUGAAUGCGUUCCCGGGCCUUGUACACACCGCCCGU